UUUUGUUACGUUUACUUGACUUCCUUACUACAAGAGUAUGUUGGUUGAAAGUAAUGACGAAUUAUAUCAGGAUAUAAAUCAUCAAUAUUAUGAAUUGUUGUCAUCUCAUGCUCAUUUCAUAUUUCUUCUAUAUGCUUCAAGUUUUGGGCUUGUGAAUCAUUUUACAAGUUCCCACGGGAGAGCCUGGUAGCAAAUAUUGUAUUUUCUUCAUGUCGCUUCAAUAUAGUAUUUGAACAUCUUCUAUUCAUUGUUUACAGGAAAAAAACAACAAAAUUCACACUCUGGGAAGAUUACAUUGAUCUUUAUGUGAAUAAACUUUUGAAACAACUGAAUGAAUACCCAGUUAUUCUUGCUAGAAAAAUUGGUAGAUCAUCAUCAGGAUCAUCGAACAAAUUCAAUGGGCUGUCGAACAAAUUUAGUACAACAAUCUAUUUCAAUCCUCCUUACCCACAAGCUGUUGAGUUGAAGUCAUGGGCCAAAACAAUUGAACCAAUGCUUAAUGCAUACAAGAUAAAGAGUACAUCUUCCACAGGCUCUGUCAUGGUGGUUCCUUUUGAGGAUGAAAUCAUAGCUAUUUCCAAUAUCCAAGCGCAACCUCAAGGACAAGUAUUUUUUGUCGAAGCUGAACUUUGUCUGCCAAAUGAGAACCAACAAUUUUGUGUGUUAGCUUGUUCUGACUGUAAGCAAUUGUUCACGAGAUCUUUCUCUCGGAGGACAAUUUAUUGUACAAACUGUCAACGAUCCACUCAUCUAAUUCCAAGAUGUCAAUUUGAAGUCACUGUUAGAGACAAUAGUGGUUUUGCAACAGCCAUUAUUUCUGACAAACCUGCCGAGAAAAUGUUAUGCCUCAGCUCAGAAGAAAUUUAUGACAUCUACCAUGUCAAGGUACAUAUUUCAUAUUACUAUUAGAUAUGAAAAUUUGUCUAUUUAGAGAACUGUUGAAAGCUAACAUUCUGUUUUUGCUUUAUUUAGCUUCAUUUCUCUUUUAAUAUUCUCCUAUACUUUCUUGUGGUUCAGUUAGACGCUUAGUGCCUACUUACUAACCAGCACCUUAAUAUGGACGGAGUAAGAGCUUACAUUCUUUCACUUCUCAUAACACAAGCAACUACUGGAUGAAAUAUGUUGGACUUCUUUUAUGAAGAACAUAAGCUGCACUUACACACGUGCGAAUAAUUCAAUCAAAAGACAAUAGCUUAAGUUUGACAACGUAACAUACUUGGUCUAAUUAACUUUAAGACAUUUCAGGAAUUAAAUGUCUCAUUUCAUCCCAACUCCUCUCCUUUUUUUGGUAGGUAUCUAUCCAACUCCUGUGUUUCUACUCUAUGUUCUUUACUUUUAUGCGUUUUAGAGAAUACAUGCAAGCAACAUCCUUUCCUAACUUAAUCUAAAUGCUAAACCUGUCAGCCUACUCCAAAAAUAUUGGCUCACUGCAGAAUAAUGCCCUGCAAUAUCCAAUCUUCAGCACCACCCCUUCCACUAAAGCCACAUCUUCGAAACGUUAAUUAACCUAUUUCUGCUAUUAUGUUCUGAUAAAAUUAUGCUCAAGGCCACUUCAUCAAUUUCUUUAUUUUGUCCAUGGAAAUUGACAUCUGAUAUUGACAGAAGGUUAAGAGUCUCCAAAUCUUCAUUCUUCACAUUCUCCUAAAGUGGCAAAAUGACCCUCUUUUGAUGCGUAAUUAACCAAUUUUGUCCUUCCAGAAACAAAUUUUACCUCUUGCGGAUGUGCAGAAACAGUUGAGUGGAAAGAUAUUCAAAAUUCAAAUGAAAAAAUUAUUUACAAAAUAUCAUGAUACAGUGCAAAAGUUAUCCAUUUUAUCUUACAUGAACAAAGAAAAUGAGAUCCACCAAGAGUCCCCACCAAGCAUGAUGGAUGUUGCCAAGGGGAGCAAACGCAAAAUUGAACGCCUUGGCUUGGAGGGAAAAGAAGAUCAAGAGACAAAAGACAAUGCUUCCUACUACAAGCGGGGCUUGGAAAUAAGGACUCCUCCUUUGAAAAAGUAAUUGUAAGUUGAAGCUGAAGCCACAUUUUGCUGCUGUUUUGGGAUGCAUUUGAAGGCAUUUUGCUGCUUUAUUGGAUGCAGUUAAAGCCAUAGUUAUGUUGCUGCUUUCUGCCUACGGUUAAAGCUAAUCUUUUGCUGCUGUGAUAUUAGAUGUCAGUACUUUUGUUGCACUACAAAGAAGAACAAGUACUUUUGUUGCACUACAAAGAAGAACAAUUACAGUAUGGACAAAGAAUCACCUUUUGUGAAUAUAGAUACUCUCAUGGAUGUAAAUAUUAUGCCACUUUCGAAG
This is a long non-coding RNA of Nicotiana attenuata, 2292 nucleotides long. RefSeq lists it as uncharacterized. Lineage: Eukaryota; Viridiplantae; Streptophyta; Magnoliopsida; Solanales; Solanaceae. The transcript is spliced from 7 exons. The record is from RefSeq and is a predicted model, not a curated record.